Long non-coding RNA from Micropterus dolomieu (smallmouth bass), 1026 nucleotides. RefSeq lists it as uncharacterized. The record is from RefSeq and is a predicted model, not a curated record. The transcript is spliced from 5 exons. Lineage: Eukaryota; Metazoa; Chordata; Actinopteri; Centrarchiformes; Centrarchidae.
CGCACAUCAGUCAUUUCACUAGGGUGCGACGGACUGAGAGGACGGCAGAAGUACAAACGCAUCCACUGUGAGGAACUGGGACUUUUUGAUUGUGACGGGCUAUCGACUAUGACCCGUGUUAGUACAGAGGGCUGGUGGGAGUGACCACCAACGUUCAUAACACAAGUUUUUGAAAAGUGCUGUUAAAAGAAGACAGUUCUGCAGGAAAGCAAAGAGAUGCAAGAGAGUUAUAUUUUUAUCAGGUCAUGGGGAAUUCGAAGUAUAUCCCUACCACCAACAGGCAGGAGGAGUCUGGAAGUAGUGGAAAACUCUGGAUCUGUUGUCUGGGCUGAGCUUGGCACCCUACAGGCAGCAAGAAAGGUGAUUGGAUGAACCAGUUCUCCAUCUGUCACGGGCUAACUCCAACCAAUCAGAUCAACGAACCAUUUCACAUUGUAGGAGAGCCGAAGCCAGUCGGGAGAAGAGUGAAAACAUUUUUUUCCACCAAGAAAAGCUGUCAGUACCGUUCUUUUCUCUUCUUUCAAUGAAGAAAUACUCUACAGUCCUGAUAUAAUUGAUGCUAUAGCAGCAUCUGUACUAAUCAAAAUGUCUCAGUCAAGAGAAGUAACCGCACAUAAUUCAUAUGUCUUACUUUGAUCAAAAGAAAAGAUCAUUUAGUGAUCUGUUCUUUUGAUCAAAGUCUCCUGAAUAGGGAUCAGAGAAAAAGCUCCAAGAUAUGUUUUAUCUUGGUGACCCCACUUAGGGGUGGAAAACACUUUACUUUUGUAAAUGUUGAGGUACUUGCACUUGAGUAUUUUCAUUUUAGGGGGAUUUAUACUUUUACUCCCCUACAUUUUAAAUCAUGUAUUGUGCUGAUUGCUAUCUGAUCCCUGUAGUUAAGUUACUGAGAAGAACAAAAAAAUAUUUUGCCACUGAAAAUGAUGCGUAUUUACAGAUUAUUUCAUUAAGGACUGAACACACGCAAGAACAGACAAACUGUCAUACCGAAAAAGGCAUAUGUAUAAGAACAUAUUACAUUCACAUGUG